This 454-nucleotide ribosomal RNA is filed under the name uncultured bacterium. RNAcentral describes it as "bacterial SSU rRNA". It matches the Rfam family "Bacterial small subunit ribosomal RNA", at positions 29 to 486 of the family's 1533-position model. The record is from RNAcentral.
AGCGAACGUUUGCGGCGGGCCUAACACAUGCAAGUCGAACGCACUAGCAAUAGUGAGUGGCGCACGGGUGCGUAACACGUGGGUAAUCAACCCUUCAGCCUGGGAUAACGACUCGAAAGGGUCGCUAAUACCGGAUACGGCGCGAGAGGCUUCGGCUUCUCACGAGAAAGCCACGCAAGGGGCACUGAAGGACGAGCCUGCGGCCCAUCAGCUAGUUGGUGAGGUAAGAGCUCACCAAGGCUAAGACGGGUAGCUGGUCUGAGAGGAUGAUCAGCCACACUGGAACUGAGACACGGUCCAGACUCCUACGGGAGGCAGCAGUGGGGAAUAUUGCGCAAUGGGCGAAAGCCUGACGCAGCCACGCCGCGUGAGCGAUGAAGGCCUGGUCGUAAGACGUCUGUGGGAGGAGACGAAGAAAGACCUGUGAGAGCAGGCCUUGACGGUAGUCUCCUUA